This 469-nucleotide ribosomal RNA is filed under the name uncultured bacterium. RNAcentral describes it as "partial 16S ribosomal RNA". It matches the Rfam family "Bacterial small subunit ribosomal RNA", at positions 28 to 507 of the family's 1533-position model. The record is from RNAcentral.
GAUGAACGCUGGCGGCGCGCCUAACACAUGCAAGUCGAACGGUUAAAGCACCUUUUAGGUGUGUAUAAAGUGGCGAACGGCUGAGUAACACGUGGGCAACCUGCCCUCCUCUUGGGGAUAGCCUCGGGAAACCGAGGAUAAUACCCGAUACUUCAAUGUGGCCGCAUGACGACAUUGAGAAAGCUUUUGCGGAGAAGGAUGGGCCCGCAGCCUGUUAGCUUGUUGGUGGGGUAGAGGCCUACCAAGGCAAUGAUGGGUAGCUGGGUUGAGAGACCGACCAGCCAGAUUGGGACUGAGACACGGCCCAGACUCCUACGGGAGGCAGCAGUGGGGAAUCUUGCACAAUGGGCGAAAGCCUGAUGCAGCGACGCCGCGUGCGGGACGAAGGCCUUCGGGUUGUAAACCGCUUUCAGCAGGGACGAGGCGAUAAGUGACGGUACCUGCAGAAGAAGCCCCGGCUAACUACGUG